Molecule: long non-coding RNA, 630 nt
Organism: Cygnus olor (mute swan)
Lineage: Eukaryota; Metazoa; Chordata; Aves; Anseriformes; Anatidae
Exons: 3
Source: RefSeq, a predicted model, not a curated record
AGCAUUAAUCAGGCUGUAAACGAGAGAUUCCCUCUGCUCCUCCACAUCUGUUCUCGUCUCUCCUCCCCCAGGUGCUCAUUUUACCUCUCGGGCUGGAAGUUUCCUGAAGUUUCGGGCAGCAGCUGGCUCUUCUCCAUCUACCUGUGCGUUCACACCUUGGCAGAGGGAUGCAUUCUGCGGAGUGUUUUAGUGUCUCACUGCCCGUGGAGUGAAUGCGUCCCACCUGGACCUGGUGUCCUCCAACAGCAGUCCCAUUCCCUACAUUGCUCUGAGGCAGUAAAAUAUUUAUAAUGCAAACUGGACAACAGCAUGCACCAUGGGGCUGUGAUCACUGUAAGGAACCGAUGCCGAGGACCUUUUUGGCCGUUCAAGUGGGGAAAACAUGAAAAACUUCAAAAGCGAGUGGAGAUUUUAGCAUUUCCCAUGCCAUUUCAAAUGGUGGGGAUUUCUCCACUCUGGUGAACCAGUCCCCUGCCUGCCCACCCCCGGAGCAAAAAGCUGCCCCUCAGGAGCAAGCAGCGGGAGCUCCCCGGGGGCUGAGGAGGGUUUGCCAGGCAGGGUCAGCACCUUGUCCCAGCCGGAGGAUGCCGCGGCUGCGAGGGAAUAGAAGCGGAGAAGGCUUACAGCACC